This is an RNA transcript of Mandrillus leucophaeus (drill), 952 nucleotides long. It is a transcript of the gene named NADH dehydrogenase [ubiquinone] iron-sulfur protein 2, mitochondrial-like, with no coding region annotated. The record is from RefSeq and is a predicted model, not a curated record. The transcript has a single exon. NCBI's taxonomy places the organism in Eukaryota, Metazoa, Chordata, Mammalia, Primates, Cercopithecidae.
UGUAUCAGAAAAGGUGUGGGGCAGUGGCAGCCAGAUGUGGAAUGGGCACAGCAGUUUGGGGGAGCUGCUAUGUACCCAAGCAAAGAAACAGCCCACUGGAAGCCUCCACCUUGGAGUGAUGUGAACCCUCCAAAGGACACAAUGGUGAAGAACAUGACCCUGAACUUUGGGCCCCAACACCCAGUAGCACAUGGUGUCCUGCGACUAGUGAUGGAAUUGAGUGGGGAGAUGGUGCAGAAGUGUGAUCCUCACAUUGGGCUCCUGCACCGAGGCACUGAGAAGCUCAUUGAAUACAAGACCUAUCUUCAGGCCCCUCCACACUUUGACCGGCUAGACUAUGUGUCCAUGAUGUGUAAUGGACAGGCCUAUUCUCUAGCUGUGGAGAAGUUGCUAAACAUCCGGCCUCCUCCCCGGGCACAGUGGAUCCGAGUGCUGUUUGGAGAAAUCACACGGCUGUUGAACCACAUCAUGGCUAUGACCACACGUGCCCUGGAUCUUGGGGCCAUGACCCCUUUCUUCUGGCUGUUUGAAGAAAGGGAGAAGAUGUUUGAGUUCUACGAGCGAGUGUCUGGAGCCUGAAUGCAUGCUGCUUGGGCUUAUGGAUGACAUUUAUGAGUUUUCUAAGAACUUCUCUCUUUGGCUUGAUGAGUUGGAGGAGAUGCUGACCAACAAUAGGAUCUGGCGAAAUUGGACAAUUGACAUUGGGGUUGUAACAGCAGAAGAAGCACUUAACUAUGGUUUUAGUGGAGUGAUGCUUCGGGGCUCAGGCAUCCAGUGGGACCAGAAGACCCAGCCCUAUGACGUUUACAACCAGGUUGACUUUGAUGUUCCUGUUGGUUCUCGAGGGGACUGCUAUGAUAGGUACCUGUGCCGGGUGGAGGAGAUGCGCCAGUCCCUGAGAAUUAUCGCUUGGGAGCAGAGUUGUACCAGAAAUAACCCCUGUGGAGGCUGA